This 579-nucleotide long non-coding RNA is filed under the name Chloebia gouldiae (Gouldian finch). RNAcentral describes it as "Erythrura gouldiae (Gouldian finch) lncRNA (ENSEGOG00005007069.1)". Lineage: Eukaryota; Metazoa; Chordata; Aves; Passeriformes; Passeridae. The record is from RNAcentral.
GCAGGAAGUCUAUUUCCAGUGCACUGGAGACAACGAGACAAACCUGCCAACAGUAGAGAUGUUAAAGGUAAUAGAAAAACAGCUCAAUGAUUUACUGGGCAGCGUGGAGAGAAUCCCACCAGCAAAGAUAGAAAAGGCUGUGAAAGCCAUAAGAAAGGAACAGAGGGCAAGGCUCAGAGAGGAAAAGCAAAAACAAGCGAAGCAGCAGCAAGAUGAAGGAUUGAAAAGGGACAUGGAAAGAUCACAGGUACCUGAAGGAAAAAAGAACUACAAGAAAACGGCCUUGCCUUCCAACCCACCUGCCAGGAAGAACAGCCAAGGAAACAGAUAAGAAGGAAGAACAACUGUAUUAUUUCCCCUGAUGACACAGCUUUAACCACAGCUCAUAUGGCUGAUGCUGUUCUAAAAGUCUUUUCUAGAUCUACAUUCUGUCAGUCUUUGCUCAGCUGAACUUUACUGUCCCAUGAAAUUUCCUUCUUCUUCUACCCUAAGAUUCCAGGGAAAGUUUGCAACCCCUUUUCUCCUCCUUUGAUAUUUUGCCUAAGAAAUGAAAUAAAAAUCCUCUCAUUUUGGUUCUCA